Molecule: long non-coding RNA, 324 nt
Organism: Telopea speciosissima
Lineage: Eukaryota; Viridiplantae; Streptophyta; Magnoliopsida; Proteales; Proteaceae
Exons: 2
Source: RefSeq, a predicted model, not a curated record
AUUUUAGAUGAGAUUAAUGCUACUAUUAUUAAAUCUGGAUCACGGUGGGCUGAUUCUGGAGCAACUAUACAUGUUUUCAAUACCUUGCAAGGAUUCAAGCAGCUAAGGAGAAUAAGUGAUAAUACUAGUUUCAUCUACAUAGGAAAUGAUGACAAGGCAGAGAUUGAAAGAGUUGGAGUUUUUGAAUUAAAGUUGAAUGAUGGAAUAGUUUUUGAUCUAGUUGAAUGUUUGUAUGCUCCUAUCUUAGGAGAAAUUUGUUAUCUGUUUCAAUGUUGGAAAAACUUGGAUAUGAGUUUUAUUGUGGAAAUGGAAGAUUUUUAAUGA